This 278-nucleotide long non-coding RNA is filed under the name Gallus gallus (chicken). Lineage: Eukaryota; Metazoa; Chordata; Aves; Galliformes; Phasianidae. The record is from RNAcentral.
UCGCCCACGUCGUCCGUGCAGUGCACCGAGAGGCACUGCAAGUGGCUGCCAGUCUGCGCCGUGGCCGACGUCUUGCUCGGGGGAAGGUCGUGGGCUUCUUUGCUGGGGUUCGGGGGCUUGGGCUUCUCCCACGGCGCCAUGGGCUUGUCCUCCUCCUGCCCCUCCAUCAGGGCCUUCUCGCCGGGCAGGUACCAGGUGGAGUUGUGCUCCGCCAUCAGGGAGUCCAGGUCGAUGGUGCUCAUGGUGUUCUUGACGCCCUCCGGGCAACACCCGCCCAG